RNAcentral lists this ribosomal RNA (505 nucleotides) under uncultured euryarchaeote. RNAcentral's name for it is "bacterial SSU rRNA". It matches the Rfam family "Archaeal small subunit ribosomal RNA", at positions 365 to 866 of the family's 1478-position model. Lineage: Archaea; Methanobacteriati; Methanobacteriota. The record is from RNAcentral.
GUGGGAUAAGGGAACUUCAAGUGCUCAUGUUUUCGCAUAGGGCUUUUGCCAAGGGUAAAUAGCUGGGGAGAAUAAGAGGGGGGUAAGACUGGUGCCAGCAGCCGCGGUAACACCAGCGCCACGAGUCCCAAUCAGUUUUAUUUGGCCUAAAACGUCCGUAGCUGGCUAGAUAAGUCCUUUGUGAAAUCAUCAGGCUCAACCUGACGGCGUGCGGAGGAUAUUGUUUAGCUUGAGACCGGGGGGAGUUAGAGGUAUUUCAGGGGGGAGCGGUAAAAUGCUAUAAUCCCUGGAGGACCACCUGUGGGGGAAGGCGUCUAAUUAGAACGGUUCUGACAGUGAGGGACGAAAGCCAGGGGAGCGAUCCGGAUUAGAUACCCGAGUAGUCCUGGGGGUAAACGCUGUGAGCAAGGGGUUGCAUAUUUUUCGGGAAUGUGCAGUGUCGAAACGAAGGUGUUAAGCUCACUGCCUGGGAAGUACGGUCGCAAGACUGAAACUUAAAGGAAUU